UCCAAAAAGCGUUAAAGCUUCAUUAUUACGCAUAAAAAUUCCACCACCUCUUUUUAACCCCUAAACCGUACUGAAUGAUCCCAUAGCCCUAUGGGAGCCUAUAUGUUAGAACUAGUAACAAGAAGAUAGUUCUUCUCCAAAAUGUAAGCAUGGGCCAAAAUGAACCACUCAUUGGCACUUAAAGUUAAUAAACCCUUAGUAGUAACCCAGCAAGAAAAAUCUACUAAUUAUAACGUCAAUCUUACACAAGCACAUUUCUGGAAAGAUUAAAAAAAUGGGAAGGAACUCGGCAAACUAUUAACCCCGCCUGUUUACCAAAAACAUCGCCUCUUGUUACCCAUAAGAGGUCCAGCCUGCCCAGUGACAAAGUUAAACGGCCGCGGUACCCUAACCGUGCAAAGGUAGCGCAAUCACUUGUUCUUUAAAUGAGGACUAGUAUGAAUGGCAUCACGAGGGUUAUGCUGUCUCCCCAAUUUACUCAGUGAAACUGAUCUCCCCGUGAAGAAGCGGGGAUAAGAAUAUAAGACGAGAAGACCCCAUGGAGCUUUAAACUCAGUAUCAAUUGCACCACAAAAUAACCUAAUAUUUAUGCAACCCUGUCUACUAGUUUUCGGUUGGGGUGACCACGGAGUAUAAACAAACCUCCACGAUGAAAGGAACUAACAACCUAAACCAAGAGCUACAGCUCUAAAUAUCAACAAAUUGACUAAAUUGAUCCAAUCACUUGAUCAACGAACCAAGUUACCCUGGGGAUAACAGCGCAAUCCAUUUCAAGAGCUCAUAUCGACAAAUGGGUUUACGACCUCGAUGUUGGAUCAGGGUAUCCAAGUGGCGCAGCCGCUACUAACGGUUC
This 853-nucleotide ribosomal RNA is filed under the name Microhyla mantheyi. Its description in RNAcentral is "partial large subunit ribosomal RNA". It matches the Rfam family "Bacterial large subunit ribosomal RNA", at positions 1469 to 2574 of the family's 2925-position model. Lineage: Eukaryota; Metazoa; Chordata; Amphibia; Anura; Microhylidae. The record is from RNAcentral.